Long non-coding RNA from Priapulus caudatus, 422 nucleotides. RefSeq lists it as uncharacterized. NCBI's taxonomy places the organism in Eukaryota, Metazoa, Priapulida, Priapulimorpha, Priapulimorphida, Priapulidae. The record is from RefSeq and is a predicted model, not a curated record. The transcript has 2 exons.
UUUGCUACCAUUUCAAUGGGACUUAGUAAUAGAGUACGUUCUAGAAGAUAAGGUUGGUAAAUAUUAAAUUGUAAAAAUAUUUUUAUUUAUAUACGUCAUUUACGAGAAAAUAAUGUGUGUGCCAAGGUAAAUGUUCAAACACGACAAAAUGUGAGAGUUUUACUCUCGGUAACUUUAUAUGUAAGUAUUGUUUUCAUUUGCACUUGAAUUUCUAUCAAGAAAUGAUCAAUAAAAUAUCCCGUAAGUGUACCGUAAAGCAGGUAUUGAAGAAUUAUUACGUUUCGUUCAUGUUUGCGAUUGUAUACGCGUUUCGUUACUAACGUCUAUCAAGACUGUAUUAAAUGUAUAUAUAGCGCGAUGCGUGAUUCCGUCCUAGAAAUUAACGUUGGUGUGAAAAAGACUAACUCGAUCCUAUCCACUGA